Molecule: ribosomal RNA, 497 nt
Filed under: uncultured bacterium
Lineage: Bacteria
Description: partial 16S ribosomal RNA
Rfam family: Bacterial small subunit ribosomal RNA
Source: RNAcentral
GAUGAACGCUGGCGGCGUGCCUAAUACAUGCAAGUCGAGCGAACGGACGAGAAGCUUGCUUCUCUGAUGUUAGCGGCGGACGGGUGAGUAACACGUGGAUAACCUACCUAUAAGACUGGGAUAACUUCGGGAAACCGGAGCUAAUACCGGAUAAUAUUUUGAACCGCAUGAUUCAAAAGUGAAAGACGGUCUUGCUGUCACUUAUAGAUGGGUCCGCGCUGCAUUAGCUAGUUGGUAAGGUAACGGCUUACCAAGGCAACGAUGCAUAGCCGACCUGAGAGGGUGAUCGGCCACACUGGAACUGAGACACGGUCCAGACUCCUACGGGAGGCAGCAGUAGGGAAUCUUCCGCAAUGGGCGAAAGCCUGACGGAGCAACGCCGCGUGAGUGAUGAAGGUCUUCGGAUCGUAAAACUCUGUUAUUAGGGAAGAACAUAUGUGUAAGUAACUGUGCACAUCUUGACGGUACCUAAUCAGAAAGCCACGGCUAACUACGUG